AAGUUUGAUAGAGGUUGCGUGUUUCAAGAGUAAGUCAUCCGAUGUAUUCAGGUACAGGCGAAGGUGGCCAAAAGGGGAAAACGCCGAAAGCUGGAUUGCACCUGAAGCUUGCAGCUUGGGCAUGGAGCUAAGAACUCUAUGACUGUCAUCGAAUGACGAUGGGGCGCUAUCUGAAAG
This is a regulatory RNA element of Firmicutes bacterium CAG:56, 177 nucleotides long. It matches the Rfam family "Lysine riboswitch aptamer". Rfam says of the family: Riboswitches are metabolite binding domains within certain messenger RNAs that serve as precision sensors for their corresponding targets. Allosteric rearrangement of mRNA structure is mediated by ligand binding, and this results in modulation of gene expression. Lineage: Bacteria; Bacillati; Bacillota. The record is from Rfam.